This 484-nucleotide ribosomal RNA is filed under the name uncultured bacterium. RNAcentral describes it as "partial 16S ribosomal RNA". It matches the Rfam family "Bacterial small subunit ribosomal RNA", at positions 28 to 507 of the family's 1533-position model. The record is from RNAcentral.
AUUGAACGCUGGCGGCAUGCUUUACACAUGCAAGUCGAACGGCAGCGCGGGCUUCGGCCUGGCGGCGAGUGGCGAGCGGGUGAGUAAUGCAUCGGAACGUGCCCAGUAGUGGGGGAUAGCCCGGCGAAAGCCGGAUUAAUACCGCAUACGACCUGAGGGUGAAAGCGGGGGACCGAAAGGCCUCGCGCUAUUGGAGCGGCCGAUGUCGGAUUAGCUAGUUGGUGGGGUAAAGGCUUACCAAGGCGACGAUCCGUAGCUGGUCUGAGAGGACGACCAGCCACACUGGGACUGAGACACGGCCCAGACUCCUACGGGAGGCAGCAGUGGGGAAGUUUGGACAAUGGGGGCAACCCUGAUCCAGCCAUGCCGCGUGCGGGAAGAAGGCCUUCGGGUUGUAAACCGCUUUUGUUCGGGAAGAAAUCCUCUGGGCUAAUACCCCGGGGGGAUGACGGUACCGGAAGAAUAAGCACCGGCUAACUACGUG